RNAcentral lists this ribosomal RNA (438 nucleotides) under uncultured bacterium. Its description in RNAcentral is "partial 16S ribosomal RNA". It matches the Rfam family "Bacterial small subunit ribosomal RNA", at positions 339 to 795 of the family's 1533-position model. The record is from RNAcentral.
CUACGGGGUGCUCCAGUGAGGAAUAUUGCACAAUGGGGGGAACCCUGAUGCAGCAACGCCGCGUGGAGGAUGCCGCAUUUCGGUGUGUAAACUCCUUUUAUAUGUCAAGAAAAUGACGGUAGCAUAUGAAUAAGCACCGGCUAACUCCGUGCCAGCAGCCGCGGUAAUACGGAGGGUGCAAGCGUUACUCGGAAUCACUGGGCGUAAAGGACGCGUAGGCGGGUUGGAAAGUCGGGUGUGAAAUCCUACAGCUUAACUGUAGAACUGCACUUGAAACUUCUAAUCUAGAGUAUGGGAGGGGAGAUGGAAUUAGUGGUGUAGGGGUAAAAUCCGUAGAUAUCACUAGGAAUACCUAAAGCGAAGGCGAUCUCCUGGAACAUUACUGACGCUAAGGCGUGAAAGCGUGGGGAGCAAACAGGAUUAGAUACCCCUGUAGUC